This 233-nucleotide ribosomal RNA is filed under the name uncultured bacterium. Its description in RNAcentral is "partial 16S ribosomal RNA". It matches the Rfam family "Bacterial small subunit ribosomal RNA", at positions 118 to 348 of the family's 1533-position model. The record is from RNAcentral.
UGAGGAACAUGACCUUCGGCGGGGGAUAGCCGGCCCAACGGCCGGGUAAUACCGCGUACGACCACAUGGGGACAUCCCUGAGUGGUGAAAGCAGCAAUGCGCCGAUGGAGUGCCUCGCGGCCUAUCAGCUAGUUGGUGAGGUAACGGCUCACCAAGGCGACGACGGGUANCUGGUCUGAGAGGAUGGCCAGCCACAUUGGGACUGAGACACGGCCCAGACCUCUACGGGGAGG